CCAGCCAUGCCGCGUGAAGGAAUGAAGGUGCCUAUGGGGUGCUGAAACUUCUUUUGACGCAGAGCAAUAAGGGACACGCGUGUUCCGAUGAGAGUAUGCGUCGAAUAAGCAUCGGCUAACUCCGUGCCAGCAGCCGCGGUAAUACGGAGGAUGCGAGCGUUAUCCGGAUUUAUUGGGUUUAAAGGGUGCGUAGGCUGUUGGAUAAGUCAGCGGUGAAAUCACCACGCUUAACGUGUUGUGUGCCGUUGAAACUGUCUGGCUUGAAUGCGCUCGUCGUGAGAGGAAUGUGUGGUGUAGCGGUGAAAUGCAUAGAUAUCACACAGAACACCGAUUGCGAAGGCAUCUCACGAGGGCGCUAUUGACGCUGAUGCACGAAAGCGCGGGUAUCGAACAGGAUUAGAUACCCUGGUAGUCCGCGCUGUAAACGAUGAUGACUAACCGUUGGUCUGGUAUGGAUCAGUGGUCAAGCGAAAGCGUUAAGUCAUCCACCUGGGGAGUACGGCCGCAAGGCUGAAACUCAAAGGAAUUGACGGGGCCGCAC
RNAcentral lists this ribosomal RNA (541 nucleotides) under Bacteroidetes bacterium oral taxon 281. RNAcentral describes it as "bacterial SSU rRNA". It matches the Rfam family "Bacterial small subunit ribosomal RNA", at positions 388 to 924 of the family's 1533-position model. Lineage: Bacteria; Pseudomonadati; Bacteroidota. The record is from RNAcentral.